Equus quagga is the source of this 928-nucleotide long non-coding RNA. RefSeq lists it as uncharacterized. NCBI's taxonomy places the organism in Eukaryota, Metazoa, Chordata, Mammalia, Perissodactyla, Equidae. The record is from RefSeq and is a predicted model, not a curated record. The transcript has 3 exons.
UCCCCCAGAAUUAAACACAUAGAACACGAUAAAAAUGAUUACACAAGAAACAGAAACUAUAAAGACGUAACGCAUCGACGAACGCAUGCCUCAAAGAGGAGCGAGCUUUCAAAGACUGUCAAAAUCUGCCACACGACCUGCUAAUCGAGAACGGACACCAUGUGUUUUUUUGCUACUGAGACUGAGCAGUUCAGCCCUUGCGACCCGCCGUUGACUGCAGGCAACGACAAGGUCGACACUUGGAGGCCUAGCAACCACGCCUUGUCGCUCACUUUGGAAGCAGUUAUUCCCGAACUAGCCAAUUAAUCAGGCUAGACACGUUUACCCUCCCCCUGAGGCCACCUUAAAAGCUCACUCUUUAUUGCUCAGAAGUCUUUAUUUUUGGUACAUUAAAGAAUUUUUUUUCCCGAUUAUGAAGCUAUCUAGACACAGCUCCAAAAUGAAGAGGGUGCCCUUCCUUUGAAAUGAUGGAAGACUCGGAAUCUCAACGAAAUUAAAAUAAUCGAAGACGGAAAAGAAUGUCCUCUGACACCUCAGCACCUGUAGGCUUUCCUGUGUGCAGGGGCCAGAAGACACCUGCCUGACGCUCCAGACUAAAGAAGCAGGCGCUGAAGGGGGCUGCACUGCAGAGCGUGCUGCCUGCUGGGCUCGAGCGCUGAGGGAGGCGGCAGCUGUCGUCAUGCUCGAAGACCUGCACUUUAUUUUGUUGCCAAAGGAGUAUCACCAAGGCUUAAGGUGGAGGAGCUCUCCCAGGCAACGCGUGCCGAGUGGACGAGGAGUACGAGCAAAAUAAAUCACGCUAAAAUGAGCUGUAAUUCAAUAUGUAUAAGAUGAAUCCACUCAGCAGCAGUGAUGGAACCCAGGAAGUGUGAGGAAUGGCCCCUGUCCUGUAGGAGAGUCUCUCUUUACCAGGAUUCAGAACAUGGAC